GACAGAGGAGGCAAGCGUUGUUCGGAAUCAUUGGGCUUAAAGGGCGUGUAGGCGGCCCCGAAAGGGUGGGGGGAAAUCCCAUCGCUCAACGAUGGAACGGCUCGGCAAACUGCGUGGCUUGAGGUCGGUAGAGGUGCUCGGAACUCUAGGUGGAGCGGUGAAAUGCGUAGAUAUCUGGAGGAACACCGGUGGCGAAAGCGGCUCACUGGACCGAAUCUGACACUGAGGUGCGAAAGCGUGGGGAGCAAACAGG
This 253-nucleotide ribosomal RNA is filed under the name uncultured bacterium. RNAcentral's name for it is "partial 16S ribosomal RNA". It matches the Rfam family "Bacterial small subunit ribosomal RNA", at positions 524 to 776 of the family's 1533-position model. The record is from RNAcentral.